This is a long non-coding RNA of Brassica napus (rape), 1567 nucleotides long. RefSeq lists it as uncharacterized. NCBI's taxonomy places the organism in Eukaryota, Viridiplantae, Streptophyta, Magnoliopsida, Brassicales, Brassicaceae. The transcript has 2 exons. The record is from RefSeq and is a predicted model, not a curated record.
UUAGGUUAACAAAUUGCUUUGGAGUAUUCACAUUCUCGAUAAACAUAUAUAUUGUAUGGAUUUCAUUCUAAGUGAUGUAAAGUAUAUUAAUAUACUAAAGAAGACUUACCAAAGAGACUCUUUACUACCUAUGCCAAUAUUAUUUCAAGUCAGUAAUCUCUACAAUAUUAUUUGAUAAGUCAUAAUAAUCUAUAUGUCAAUCUCAUGUUAAUUUUAAAACACUACAAGAAAAAUGAGUUUUGAUAGCAGUAGAGGAUAGCAUUUUUUCGCUUUCUGCUAUGGUUGACAUACCCGUUAGUUUUAGAUAGCUUUUUUUUUUUUAGAAACGCUAUGAUAGAGCAGCAUAAUUGGAAACGCUAUGAUAGCAGAUGGUUUUAUAUGUAACACUUAUGUUUAAUAGCAAAACAUAGUUAAAAACGUUAUGUUUGGUAUUUUAAAUCCCUAAACCCUAAACAAUUUUUUAAACUCUAAACACAAACUUUUAAACUCUACUAUUUUAACAUCAUAUCUUAAAUUAAACUUCAAUUCUUAAAUAUAAACUUAAAAUUAAUAUUUUUCAAAAAUUCAUCUCAAGUCUAAAUCAAUACCCUAAACCUCUAACCCUCAAACCAUAUACUCAAUCUUUUAUUUUAAACUCCAAACUUCAAAUCUAAUAUUUUCAAACUUAAUACAUCAAAUAUCAUAGUUAUAAAUCAUAACACUUAUUAAAUUCAUUUACAUAUAUACUUUACACUAAUUAUAUAUAAAUCUUAAAUUUAUUUACAUUUGUACUAUACAUACCCUAAACUCUCACAAAAAAAAAUCUGAUUGGCUAGUCAUUUUCGUCUGUUAGAUUGGAUUCAAUCCAAUGGACAAGAUCUUUCCCUUCUCAUUUUAUCAGUCUUAUUUCUCAUUGGAUGAUAAAUGUUGGCGAGGAUAACCAACUUUUAAUCUCUACCAUUGAUAAAAUCUUAUCCAAUGGUGAGGCUAUCAAGAGUUUUUUCUCUCUAUCUCUCUCAUCUCUCACAAUCUCCACCUCUCUCAACCUCUGUAUCUCUCAAUCCAGUCGCCAUGUCUCUCAAUCUCUCUCAAUCUCCAUCUCUCGUAACCUCUAUGUCUCCAAAGGAGAAGAAGUAGUGGAUAACGAAGGAAUGGAUUCGGAGCGGGACUAGCUACGCCGGAUUCUGUAGGCGGAGGAAGACGGUGGGACGAUGACAUGGUAAAGAGAAGUGGUGGUGUGAGAAGAUGAUGAAACGGGAAAGAGAAGUGGUGGAGGAUGGAGGAGGACAGCAGAUGGCAUAGCUAACAGCGUGGUUUGAAGCGUCGAUGCGAAGGAGUUCGUGAUGGUGGUUGUUAGAUCCGGUGAAGGAGGUGGCUGGUGUAAACAAACAGACGAGGCGGAGGCGGAAAGGUGGAGGCACGAGGAGUUAGGUUUCUUUUUAGGUUUUGCUUUGUAGGUUUAUUUUUUUGGUUUACAUUAAACCAAUUUUGAUUUAUUUUUAUAUGUGAACCAGUUUUAAUUAUGAAUAAUUUGUAAUUCAAUUUCAUUUAUAAUUUAAUUUUAAUAUAUAUAUCAGUUUUAAUUAAA